RNAcentral lists this ribosomal RNA (521 nucleotides) under uncultured Glomeraceae. Its description in RNAcentral is "SSU rRNA". It matches the Rfam family "Eukaryotic small subunit ribosomal RNA", at positions 569 to 1092 of the family's 1831-position model. The record is from RNAcentral. Lineage: Eukaryota; Fungi; Glomeromycota; Glomeromycetes; Glomerales; Glomeraceae.
AGCAGCCGCGGUAAUUCCAGCUCCAAUAGCGUAUAUUAAAGUUGCUGCAGUUAAAAAGCUCGUAGUUGAAUUUCGGGAUCAAUAUGUUGGUCGUGCCUCGGUACGUACUAGCUUAUUGGUUUCUCCCUUCUGACGAACCAUGAUGUCAUUUAUUUGGUGUUAUUGGGGAAUCAGGACUGUUACUUUGAAAAAAUUAGAGUGUUUAAAGCAGGCUCACGCUUGAAUACAUUAGCAUGGAAUAAUGAAAUAGGACGUUUGAUUCUAUUUUGUUGGUUUCUAGGAUCGACGUAAUGAUUAAUAGGGAUAGUUGGGGGCAUUAGUAUUCAAUUGUCAGAGGUGAAAUUCUUGGAUUUAUUGAAGACUAACUACUGCGAAAGCAUUUGCCAAGGAUGUUUUCAUUAAUCAAGAACGAAAGUUAGGGGAUCGAAGACGAUCAGAUACCGUCGUAGUCUUAACCAUAAACUAUGCCGACUAGGGAUCGGAUGAUGUUAAUUUUUUAAUGACUCAUUCGGCGCCUUACG